UCAUACCCCACAAUAAACAAUGAGUCAAGUAUAAAUAAUAUAGAUAUAUUAAUUUUAGAACUAGUAAUAAGGAAAUAUGAUUUUCUCUAUAACUUUAGUGUAUGUCAGACCAAACCAAUUACUGAUUAUUAAUAAUAACUGGUAAAUAAAAAUUAACAAGAAUUUUUCCAAACAAUUAACCGUUAACCCAACACAGGAAAUUUAAUAGAAAGAUACAAAAAUAAGAAAGGAACUCGGCAAACAAAAGUUCCGCCUGUUUACCAAAAACAUCGCCUCUAGAUACACAUGCAUUAGAGGUAAUGCCUGCCCAGUGAUUAUUAAACGGCCGCGGUAUCCUGACCGUGCAAAGGUAGCAUAAUAACUUGUCAUUUAAAUAAUGACUAGAAUGAAUGGCAAAACGAGAACUUAACUGUCUCCCUUAUUUAAUCAAUAAAACUGAUCUACUUGUACAAAAGCAAGAAUAUUAAUACAAGACGAGAAGACCCUAUGGAGCUUUAAACCCAUUAUUAACUAUAAUAACAACAAUUAUAACUUAACUAAUUGUUUUAGGUUGGGGCGACCACGGAGCACAAAAAACCUCCGAGAAAACAACUUAGAAAACAAACCAAAGUAAAAAACAUUUAAACAAUUGACCCAAUAAAAUUGAUCAACGAACCAAGUUACCCUAGGGAUAACAGCGCAAUCUUCUCUAAGAGUUCAUAUCGACGAGAAGGCUUACGACCUCGAUGUUGGAUCAGGAUACCCAAACAGU
RNAcentral lists this ribosomal RNA (751 nucleotides) under Boulengerula taitana (Taita Mountains caecilian). RNAcentral describes it as "partial 16S ribosomal RNA". It matches the Rfam family "Bacterial large subunit ribosomal RNA", at positions 1456 to 2554 of the family's 2925-position model. Lineage: Eukaryota; Metazoa; Chordata; Amphibia; Gymnophiona; Herpelidae. The record is from RNAcentral.